RNAcentral lists this long non-coding RNA (294 nucleotides) under Capsella rubella. RNAcentral describes it as "long non-coding RNA (CRUB_LNC002505)". Lineage: Eukaryota; Viridiplantae; Streptophyta; Magnoliopsida; Brassicales; Brassicaceae. The record is from RNAcentral.
AGUUUUGGAGAUAUUAGGAGCAAAAAUAAAGUUUAAAGAGAUGAACUAAGCUAUGUAAUAAAGAGGAACCAAAAGUGAGAAGAGAAGGCGUCCUGCAAGUACAUCUAAGUAUUGUUGCAUCGAAGUUGCUUGGCUGAUGCCGAAUGUUCUGAAGAUACCAAUGUGAUCUACAAGUACAUCGAAAUAUUGCAUCAUUGUUUUUUAUCCUUGUGUAUGAGAUGUUUUAAAAUCAGAUUCGAUCCGGUUUGUCCAAGAUCGACCUGGUUUGUGUCCACUACUCUUCUCUAAACGUUC